GACGUAGGAUGCGAGCGUUGUCCGGAAUUAUUGGGCGUAAAGCGUUCGUAGGCGGCAUGCCAAGUCUGGUGUUAAAUCCCGGAGCUCAACUCCGGUUCGGCAUUGGAUACUGGCAAGCUGGAGUGCAGAAGAGGCAAAGGGAAUUCCUAGUGUAGCGGUGAAAUGCGUAGAUAUUAGGAGGAACACCGGUGGCGUAAGCGCUUUGCUGGUCUGUAACUGACGCUGAGGAACGAAAGCCAGGGGAG
Molecule: ribosomal RNA, 245 nt
Filed under: uncultured bacterium
Lineage: Bacteria
Description: partial 16S ribosomal RNA
Rfam family: Bacterial small subunit ribosomal RNA
Source: RNAcentral